GAUGAACGCUGGCGGCGUGCCUAAUACAUGCAAGUCGAGCGAACGGACGAGAAGCUUGCUUUUCUGAUGUUAGCGGCGGACGGGUGAGUAACACGUGGAUAACCUACCUAUAAGACUGGGAUAACUUCGGGAAACCGGAGCUAAUACCGGAUAAUAUUUUGAACCGCAUGGUUCAAAAGUGAAAGGCGGUCUUGCUGUCACUUAUAGAUGGAUCCGCGCUGCAUUAGCUAGUUGGUAAGGUAACGGCUUACCAGGGCAACGAUGCAUAGCCGACCUGAGAGGGUGUUCGGCCACACGGGAACUGAGACACGGUCCAGACUCCUACGGGAGGCAGCAGGAGGGAAUCUUCCGCAAUGGGCGAAAGCCUGACGGAGCAACGCCGCGUGAGUGAUGAAGGUCUUCGGAUCGUAAAACUCUGUUAUUAGGGAAGAACAUAUGUGUAAGUAACUGUGCACAUCUUGACGGUACCUAAUCAGAAAGCCACGGCUAACUACGU
This 496-nucleotide ribosomal RNA is filed under the name uncultured bacterium. Its description in RNAcentral is "partial 16S ribosomal RNA". It matches the Rfam family "Bacterial small subunit ribosomal RNA", at positions 28 to 506 of the family's 1533-position model. The record is from RNAcentral.